CCCUUAGAUGUUCUGGGCAGCACGCGCGCUACAAUGGUCUUCGCAAACGGAUGCAUUCUCGAAGGAGAAUGCCAAUCUUGGAAUCUAUGCCUUGGUCGGGACAGUUGCUUGCAAUUUUUCGACUCGAACCAGGAAUUCCUUGUAAUCGUGAUUCAUCACAUCACGAUGAAUACGUCCCUGCCCUUUUUACACACCGCCCGUCGCUCCUACCGAUCGAAGAGUUAGGUGAAUUGUUUUGAUCGAUAAGAUUUGACUAUGGUCAACUCUCGUUGUGAAAUUCUGUGAAUCUGACUGUUUAGAGGAAGGAAAAGUCGUAACA
Molecule: ribosomal RNA, 319 nt
Filed under: uncultured eukaryote
Lineage: Eukaryota
Description: partial 18S ribosomal RNA
Rfam family: Eukaryotic small subunit ribosomal RNA
Source: RNAcentral